This is a long non-coding RNA of Achroia grisella, 288 nucleotides long. RefSeq lists it as uncharacterized. The transcript is spliced from 3 exons. The record is from RefSeq and is a predicted model, not a curated record. Lineage: Eukaryota; Metazoa; Arthropoda; Insecta; Lepidoptera; Pyralidae.
AAAGAUUUGGUGCGUAAUAUGCGUGCGAACUCAUAUGCCGGUAUCAUCGAAAUUUACAGACCUACCAGUGGAAACUAAGGUUUUAUAAUUGGAAUUUGGAAUGCUGGGUGUAUUGGGCUGUAUUUGACUGUACACAUGCCACCCCAUUGUAAAUUAAGAAGAGAUAUUACUGUAGAAAACAAUACCAUUCAUUAAAUAUAUAAUUGGUUAGUAAUGCUGACAUGGAGAUUAUAAGUGUGGAUGCCAACUGGAACUGGAGCUACUCAUGACAUUUGGGCAAACCAGAGA